AUUGUGAUGUGAAGCUGGAGAACUUGGCACUUACAGCCUCCCUGGGGUGGAACCUCCCGGCAGUUCUUG
RNAcentral lists this long non-coding RNA (69 nucleotides) under Phocoena sinus (vaquita). Its description in RNAcentral is "lncRNA (ENSPSNG00000022202.1)". Lineage: Eukaryota; Metazoa; Chordata; Mammalia; Artiodactyla; Phocoenidae. The record is from RNAcentral.